CACAGCCACUUUUUUCCUUUUUUUCUCACUCCAUUGUAUGUGUGUGUGGUGCGGCAGGGGAUAAGGGGAAUAAUCUCUCUCCAGUAUAAGAAGGAGAUAGAAGUUCAUGAAGCAGAAGCACAACAGGUGGUGGUUUGUCCUUUAAGCAAGUACUCAAUAGUUAAGGCUGAUCUCUUUGACUCUUCACUGGGAGCAGAAAAAGAAAGAGAAAUGCUGAAGAUGGAAGAAUGGACACAACAGCAUUUGCUAUCCCUUCGUAUGUCUUGAGAUCUAGUACAAAGCUUCUGGGACAAGAAUAUUCGUGCUAUGUUUAGGGAGCAGCAAGAGAAGUCACAGUUACUGGAGCAGAGUGACAGAUAAAGGGAGAG
This 368-nucleotide long non-coding RNA is filed under the name Pongo abelii (Sumatran orangutan). RNAcentral describes it as "lincRNA". Lineage: Eukaryota; Metazoa; Chordata; Mammalia; Primates; Hominidae. The record is from RNAcentral.